This is a non-coding RNA of Talaromyces proteolyticus, 84 nucleotides long. The record is from the annotation of a RefSeq genome assembly. NCBI's taxonomy places the organism in Eukaryota, Fungi, Ascomycota, Eurotiomycetes, Eurotiales, Trichocomaceae.
GCUCUCGUGGCCAAAUGGCUCAAGGCACCGGACUUCUAUCAAAAGUUAAUCCGGAGAUUGUGGGUUCGAUCCCCACCGGGAGCU